This 702-nucleotide ribosomal RNA is filed under the name uncultured Actinomycetes bacterium. Its description in RNAcentral is "bacterial SSU rRNA". It matches the Rfam family "Bacterial small subunit ribosomal RNA", at positions 65 to 781 of the family's 1533-position model. Lineage: Bacteria; Bacillati; Actinomycetota; Actinomycetes. The record is from RNAcentral.
AACGGAAAGGCCCUGCUUGCAGGGUACUCGAGUGGCGAACGGGUGAGUAACACGUGGGUGAUCUGCCCUGCACUUCGGGAUAAGCCUGGGAAACUGGGUCUAAUACCGGAUAGGAGCCAUUUUUAGUGUGAUGGUUGGAAAGUUUUUUCGGUGUAGGAUGAGCUCGCGGCCUAUCAGCUUGUUGGUGGGGUAAUGGCCUACCAAGGCGGCGACGGGUAGCCGGCCUGAGAGGGUGGACGGCCACAUUGGGACUGAGAUACGGCCCAGACUCCUACGGGAGGCAGCAGUGGGGAAUAUUGCACAAUGGGCGCAAGCCUGAUGCAGCGACGCCGCGUGGGGGAUGACGGCCUUCGGGUUGUAAACUCCUUUCGCUAGGGACGAAGCCUUUGUGACGGUACCUAGAUAAGAAGCACCGGCUAACUACGUGCCAGCAGCCGCGGUAAUACGUAGGGUGCGAGCGUUGUCCGGAAUUACUGGGCGUAAAGGGCUCGUAGGUGGUUUGUCGCGUCGUCUGUGAAAUUCCGGGGCUUAACUCCGGGCGUGCAGGCGAUACGGGCAUAACUUGAGUACUGUAGGGGUAACUGGAAUUCCUGGUGUAGCGGUGAAAUGCGCAGAUAUCAGGAGGAACACCGAUGGCGAAGGCAGGUUACUGGGCAGUUACUGACGCUGAGGAGCGAAAGCAUGGGUAGCGAACAGGAUUAG